Long non-coding RNA from Rosa chinensis, 492 nucleotides. RefSeq lists it as uncharacterized. Lineage: Eukaryota; Viridiplantae; Streptophyta; Magnoliopsida; Rosales; Rosaceae. The record is from RefSeq and is a predicted model, not a curated record. The transcript has 3 exons.
UCAAAAUGGCAGAUUCUAUCCUCCCUUGGGAGAGGCAAUUACGGAUUGCCAUCAAGCCUUCGAGAUGAGAUUAGAGGCCGCACAGCAUUUUCAUCUCUAUCCCAUCUCCACUCUCCCUCUGACGCCGCCGGGCUCUCAUCACAGACGCCGCCUCCCUCUCCCUCUGACGCCGCCUCAGCCUCUCAUCACGAAAACCCCAAGCACAGAGAAAUCGAGCCAAACACCAUCACAUCAUGACCUGAACCCACAUCCUCCCCCAAUUUUAGAUCGGGAAGCCAGCUUUUCUUCAUCCUCUCUUUACUACAGAACGCAUCCUGGUUUCCCAGCACAGGAAGCUAGCUAGCAGGUAGCAGAAAAAGAGAUCAGAUCAGAAAAGUGGUGCAGGUCUCAUAUUAUAGCUAGUAAAGGCUUGCAAUAACUUGAGGUGCUCAAAUGGUGAUGAAGAAGAAGACAAGGAAGUUGGUUGGAAAUACCUUCAUGGUGAUGUUUUCA